This 801-nucleotide ribosomal RNA is filed under the name uncultured bacterium. RNAcentral's name for it is "bacterial SSU rRNA". It matches the Rfam family "Bacterial small subunit ribosomal RNA", at positions 54 to 880 of the family's 1533-position model. The record is from RNAcentral.
CAUGCAAGUCGGACGGUCGCUUUGGGCAACUGAGGCGAUCGUGGCAAACGGGUGAGUAACACGUGGGUAACCAACCUUCAAGUGGGGAAUAACGAUCCGAAAGGGUCGCUAAUACCGCAUGAGCUCCCUUCGGGGAGGAAAGCUGCGCAAGCGGCGCUGGGAGACGGGCCUGCGGCCCAUCAGGUAGUUGGGGAGGUAACGGCCCCCCAAGCCGAUGACGGGUAGCUGAUCUGAGAGGAUGACCAGCCACAUUGGCACUGAGACACGGCCCAGACUCCUACGGGAGGUAGCAGCGAGGAAUAUUGCGCAAUGGGCGAAAGCCAGAUGCAGUAACGCUGCUUGAGGGACGAAGGCAUUCGGGUCGUAAACCUCUUUUGGGAGGGACGAGCGAGGACGGUACCUCUGGAAUAAGUCUCGGCUAAAUACGUGCCUGCAGCCGCGGUAAGACGUAGGAGGCGAGCGUUAUCUGGAUUCACUGGGCGUAAAGCGCGCGUAGGCGGCUCGUCAAGUCGGUUGUGAAAGCCCCCGGUUCAAGUGGGGGAGGUCAACCGAGACUGGCGGGCUUGAGGGUCAGAGAGGAAGGUGGAAUUCCCGGUGUAGCGGUGGAAUGCGUAGAGAUCGGGAGGAACACCAGUGGUGAAGGCGGCCCUCUGGUUGACCUGUGACGCUGAGACGCGAAAGCGUGGGUAGCAAACGGGAUUAGAUACCCCGGUAGUCCACGCCCUAAACGAUGAGGGUUAGGUGUUGGUGGGAAACCCCAUCCGUGCCGAAGCAAAUGCGUUAAGCCCUCCGCCUGGGGAC